GGCGGGAGCUGUGUGGAUACUUGGAACUAUUCUUUGUGUUAUUUUUAAGUCCAAAUACUAAAACGUGUGUGUAUUAUUUUGCUUACAAAAUUAUUUCGGUGGAGCAACAACAAUAACAACAACAACACUUCGCGCUAUUAAUUUCCUGAUUGGUGUGGUGAAACAUUAUAAAAUCAUGCGGAAAUUAAGUGUGGCGGAAGAAAUCUGACAAUGAGCCAAGCGGUGCAUCGCGACCAUAAAAUGCUUCGCCGCGCCGCCGCCUGUCAGAAACCCUUAGACGUUCACCUUGCAGCAGCUCAGCACCGCAGCCAGGUAGCAAGGAAAAGCAAACAAUGGAGAAGCGUGGAGCAGAUAGGAUCCUGGUGGCGGCGCUGCUGGCGACCCUCGCCGUAGCAGCUCUGGCGAUGCCCAAGUCUACCAUCCGGCCUUUCGUUCUCAAAGAGGAACAUUUGAAUGGCGAGCGCAAACUUUCCGUCAACGCAACGGAACUUCCCGCAAACGAAACUUUAUCUUACAACAUCACAAUGGCACCACUCAGGAAGGAAACAACUAGCUUCCUUAAUACCUAUCCUUUUGAGACCUCGCCUCUUGUAUCCACUCGUAAUGACACCUUUCGUUCCGCUGCGAAUAUCAGUGACCAUCAAGACUGCAGCACACCGUAGGACUGACCACGCAGCAAGAUCUUACAGAGUCAAGGAACAUGCGUUCACUGCAUUGUGUUGUUGACGCCAAAGUCUGAAUGUGCAUUGCCUCACAAUGCAAUGAAGCAAUAAAUUUUACUUGAAUAUGUUACCAAUUCAACUACUUUUUUUCAUAUGGGUUAUUUUUUUCGUAAUGUCGUAAAUUUUCUUGCUUAUGUAUCACAUGUAGAAUUAUUUAGAGUUGUUUAAAUUCAUAUGACGCUGUGUUUAUGAAUUAUUUAGCCAGACAAUAAACUGAACAUGUCA
Molecule: long non-coding RNA, 947 nt
Organism: Scylla paramamosain (green mud crab)
Lineage: Eukaryota; Metazoa; Arthropoda; Malacostraca; Decapoda; Portunidae
Exons: 4
Source: RefSeq, a predicted model, not a curated record